CUCCGUGCCAGCAGCCGCGGUAAUACGGAGGGGGUUAGCGUUGUUCGGAAUUACUGGGCGUAAAGCGCACGUAGGCGGAUCAGAAAGUAAGGGUGAAAUCCCAGGGCUCAACCCUGGAACUGCCUUGUAAACUCCUGGUCUUGAGUUCGAGAGAGGUGAGUGGAAUUCCGAGUGUAGAGGUGAAAUUCGUAGAUAUUCGGAGGAACACCAGUGGCGAAGGCGGCUCACUGGCUCGAUACUGACGCUGAGGUGCGAAAGUGUGGGGAGCAAACAGGAUUAGAUACCCUGGUAGUCCACACCGUAUACGAUGAAUGCCAGACGUCAACAAGCAUGCUUGUUGGUGUCACACCUAACGGAUUAAGCAUUCCG
RNAcentral lists this ribosomal RNA (369 nucleotides) under uncultured marine bacterium. RNAcentral describes it as "bacterial SSU rRNA". It matches the Rfam family "Bacterial small subunit ribosomal RNA", at positions 501 to 871 of the family's 1533-position model. The record is from RNAcentral.